This 579-nucleotide ribosomal RNA is filed under the name Triticum aestivum (bread wheat). Its description in RNAcentral is "partial small subunit ribosomal RNA". The record is from RNAcentral. Lineage: Eukaryota; Viridiplantae; Streptophyta; Magnoliopsida; Poales; Poaceae.
AUGCGCCAUGAUGAUGAGUUCGCAAUAGUUGCCUUUUUUGUGGGGGUCAAGUUUGCAAUAGUUGCAGUGGAGGAAGAACAACCAACUAAUGGGAAUUCUGAAUCUGAGAAGCAAGAAGAAAAUGUCGACACUAACAUCAGUGAUGACUGUGUAAGUGGCUCUCCGUACGUAACUAAUUCGUUGGAUGCACAUUUACAGUCUCUUAGUGUUCAUGAACAUCUAAUUUUUACUUUGAUAUUAAAACAAGAGAUUAUUUCCUAUGUUAAGGUAUAUGAUCUUAUUUCUGAAUUGAAGAUUAUCAAAUUGACUUAGUCAUAUGGCGUAAUGUCUGCUAUGGAGAUUUUCAAGCAUGUGAGAAAGGUUGAUUGUUAUCCCAAUGUGUCCACUGUUUAUUGCAUCUUAUUUACUGUGCAUGUGAUUGUCGCAUCGAUUGGACGAAGCUUUUCAAAGUUGAAAUUAUUGAAGAACUAUUUAAAUACAACAAUGACUCAAGAGAGACUAAAUGGAUUGGUAAUAUUAUGCAUCGAGAAGAAAAAUUAUUGGGUGAGAUUGGCAUCAACCCCCUCAUAUUAUAAGUGA